UCGAACGGCAGCACGGACUUCGGUCUGGUGGCGAGUGGCGAACGGGUGAGUAAUAUAUCGGAACAUACCCAGUAGUGGGGGAUAACUAUCCGAAAGGAUAGCUAAUACCGCAUACGAUCUGUGGAUGAAAGCAGGGGAUCUUCGGACCUUGUGCUAUUGGAAUGGCCGAUAUCUGAUUAGCUAGUUGGUAGGGUAAAAGCCUACCAAGGCGACGAUCAGUAGCUGGUCUGAGAGGACGACCAGCCACACUGGAACUGAGACACGGUCCAGACUCCUACGGGAGGCAGCAGUGGGGAAUUUUGGACAAUGGGGGCAACCCUGAUCCAGCAAUGCCGCGUGAGUGAAGAAGGCCCUCGGGUUGUAAAGCUCUUUUGUCAGGGAAGAAACGGAGUUCUCUAAUAUAGGAUUCUAAUGACGGUACCUGAAGAAUAAGCACCGGCUAACUACGUGCCAGCAGCCGCGGUAAUACGUAGGGUGCAAGCGUUAAUCGGAAUUACUGGGCGUAAAGCGUGCGCAGGCGGUUUUGUAAGUCUGAUGUGAAAUCCCCGGGCUCAACCUGGGAACUGCAUUGGAGACUGCAAGGCUAGAGUGUGUCAGAGGGGGGUAGAAUUCCACGUGUAGCAGUGAAAUGCGUAGAGAUGUGGAGGAAUACCGAUGGCGAAGGCAGCCCCCUGGGAUAACACUGACGCUCAUGCACGAAAGCGUGGGGAGCAAACAGGAUUAGAUACCCUGGUAGUCCACGCCCUAAACGAUGUCUACUAGCUGUCGGGACUUAAUUGUCUUGUAACGCAGCUAACGCGUGAAGUAG
This 808-nucleotide ribosomal RNA is filed under the name uncultured Burkholderiales bacterium. RNAcentral describes it as "SSU rRNA". It matches the Rfam family "Bacterial small subunit ribosomal RNA", at positions 62 to 867 of the family's 1533-position model. Lineage: Bacteria; Pseudomonadati; Pseudomonadota; Betaproteobacteria; Burkholderiales. The record is from RNAcentral.